UCAUCAUUUAACAGAGUAUUUGACGGAAACUUUUGGUACGAAGUUGAUACAAAAAAAACUUUAGGUAGAAAAGUUUGAAUUUCGAAAAACUUCCGGAUAAUAAAGUAAAAUUUAUCCUAUUUUUAUUAUAGAAAGAAACUCAAUUUUAAGUCUUCUCCCAUUCCAUCCCAUGUACUAUAAAUAAUUGUUAAAAAAGAAAAAAAAAACUCAAUUCCAU
RNAcentral lists this long non-coding RNA (217 nucleotides) under Prunus persica (peach). Its description in RNAcentral is "long non-coding RNA (PPER_LNC002414)". Lineage: Eukaryota; Viridiplantae; Streptophyta; Magnoliopsida; Rosales; Rosaceae. The record is from RNAcentral.